UGGGGGAUAUUGCACAAUGGGCGAAAGCCUGAUGCAGCGACGCCGCGUGGGGGAUGAAGGCCUUCGGGUUGUAAACUUCUUUUGCUCUGAACAAGGCAUGCCUUUGGGGUGUGUUGAGUGUAGGGGUUGAUUAGCGCCGGCUAACUACGUGCCAGCAGCCGCGGUAAUACGUAGGGCGCGAGUGUUGUCCGGAAUUAUUGGGCGUAAAGGGCUUGUAGGUGGCUGGUUGCGUCUGUCGUGAAAGCUCAUGGCUUAACUGUGGGUUUGCGGUGGGUACGGGCUGGCUUGAGUGCAGUAGGGGAGGCUGGAAUUCCUGGUGUAGCGGUGGAAUGCGCAGAUAUCAGGAGGAAUACCGGUGGCGAAGGCGGGUCUCUGGGCUGUUACUGACGCUGAGGAGCGAAAGCGUGGGGAGCGAACAGG
Molecule: ribosomal RNA, 420 nt
Filed under: Fusobacteriota bacterium
Lineage: Bacteria; Fusobacteriati; Fusobacteriota
Description: Fusobacteria bacterium partial 16S ribosomal RNA
Rfam family: Bacterial small subunit ribosomal RNA
Source: RNAcentral